AAAAAAAGGGAAACGGCUGAGAUAUUCAUAGGUUGCAUAUAGAGAAUUCUCUUAGAUUUUCUCUUUUUGAAAGUUAAUUUUCAUGAUGGAUACACACAACUCAUAGAAGAAGGAUCAUAAGCUUCGUAGUAACAAGAUUCAAAGUUAUUUGGUUUUUUUCACUACUAUUUGAUUAUUUCCCGGGGAUUUUCUUGCAAGUUUUAAGCUGUGGGACUGCUAUUGAUUUGAUUAGAGUUUGCUGCUAUUAUUUGCUGAUUCCAGAAGAUUCUCUUUUUCUCAUUUUUUUUCGUUUGCUGCAACCAGGUACUCCUUUGAAUCCUGAAUGACAAAUGGAGCUUGAAUGUGUUUUGUGUGGAAGAUGUGUUUCUGCUGAAAUCAAUGAAGAUUGUUCUUGUUUGGACUUUAGUUUUCAUAUUUCCUUCUAAGCCAUUCAGCUUUCUCUUCAUUUCUUCCUUUUUAUUUCUUUCUUAUAUGUGAAAAUCUGUUGUGAUGGUCACUGGUUAGUGAAGUUAUUUAGUGACAAAUGUCUUAGUAGCUCAUACUGUAGGUAUUAAAUCUGUGUAAAAGUCCCAGAUAAAGUCAUAGUAUAAUCAGCUCGUUUAUCUAUUAUUCAUUGAAAUGGGGUGUUGACUAAUGUGUUGGCUUUGAGUUUGCUUGUCAAGUUUGAGGGAUUAAUUCUGGAGUCCCAGUUUUAUGUACUUUUAAAGAAAACUCCAUGUGAUUGCUAAAAUAAUGUCUAGAUGGGUCAUCUUAGAAGUCAAACAUUGAUGUGGUAGUUGAACAGCUGAUUUUGAUAUGAUUUAUUACUUGGUUAAAGUCAUUCGAAUUAUAAAAAUUCAAGCUAUUUGAUUUUUUAAUAUGCCACAGUACGUUCCUUGCUCAUGAAGAGAUUAACAUUGUAUUUUGUCAAUCACGUAUGUCUAUAGUCAUUCUGGUGAGUUAAACAUGGGAGUUGGUAUUCUUUGGUUUCCUUUUGGUGAGAUAUUCUACAUUGUAUCUGCUUUUGUUAAUAAUUAAUUGGAUCUAUGGAACAAGUAAAGUGCUGGGUGAACUUGUCUAAUAGUAGUAUCAUUUUGGGCCUUAGGAUUUGAAUGGGAGUUGGCCCCAAAGUCAAUAGACUAAAGAGGGUUUCAUUUUAGGGCCCAAUAACUACUACGUAAUUCUAGCUGAAAUCCUCCACUUAUGCCAUUUCAUAAUCGAUACUUCAAUAAUCUCGAAUUUAUUUAAGAGUGCAUGAAUCCCGUAGUUUGCUUUAAGUGCUUUUUAUUAAGCAAAGUGAGGUGUGUCAUAUCAAAUAAGACCUAUAAUUUAUGGCCCUCAUAAGACUAGAUCAAGAAAUCACUUGAAGAAAGAGAUUUGAGGCGUGCCAUAAGCAAGUUAAAUCAUCUAUGGCCCUCACAAAUGUUAUAAUUUAGAUAUUAAAAAUGAACUUCAUAGUUUACUUUAGGCGCGUUAAUUAUAUAAUUAUCAUUGCUAAUACUAAAAUCCAGGUGUACAUUUCAUGUUACCCGAUUCUAAUUUCCAACAAGGUUAAAUAGAACAUGUCAUGAAUUACGGGUGUAUUUCAUGUAGCGUGGCUUGCGAUGUGUUUUAAAUAACCUUGAAAUAAUUCCUUAAAUAAAUAAAAGCGGUUUUUUUAAAGUUAAAAAUGCACAUAGGUUUAAAAGUGUUUUAAAAUCAAAUAAUUAGGCCGAUAAUAAUAGUUUAGUGACCAUGCUAGAACCACGGAACCUAGGAAUGCCUAACAGCUUCUCCCGGGUUAACUGAAUUCAUUACCCAGAUUUCUGUAUUCGCGGACUAUAAAUAGAGUCAAUCUUUCCUCUAUUCGGGUUCUGAACCAGUGACUUUGGACACUAUAAAUUAUCCCAAGUGGCGACUCUGAAUAAUAAAUAAAUAAAUCUCGUUUCGAUUGUCACUUAAAUUGGAAAAAAUUCCCUUAUACCCUUCCCGGAGUAGUAAAAAGGAGGUGUGAUAGAGCCGAUUAUGGAACUUUAGAACAAGAUAAGUCUCCUGUCUAACUGUGUGAGCCGGAACUACCCCUAGGUAAUGUGUUUGAUAUAUGCUACUUUUUUGCGGGAGCUACGUACGCACGAGGUGAUGAGAGUUUGUACGUAGCUAGAUUCAUGAUAUGUCUAUGUAGACUUAGGUUUACGCCAUGCUAUAACUGCACUAUUUGAGUUGUUCCUUGCCUAUUAAAUUCAUUUAUUUUACAUUAAAACUUGAGACUAGAAUUUCUAGAGUGAUAGACUUGCUAUAGUGAAGAUUUGACGAGCUUCAUGAUUAGUUGCGGAAUAAAUGUGCUCCUCUUACGAAUUACUCCCGCGUUAUGUGUUUUCAUCAAUAAGCUUCCUUAAAGGUCAUAACUCACAUGUUUAUUUGUGAGUGGGGUCAAGAACCCGUUAAACCUUCUUAUUCUAAUAGGAUCGGGUCGUUCGCCCAGGUAGUAUAACGGAUACAUCUAUGGUUCAUGUUGUUCGGCCCUCGAGAGUUUGCACAUUAUGAUGGGAUUAGGCCGUUCGUCUCGGCAGGAUUAUGUACCAUACUCUCAUAGGAACGGGCCAUUCGCCUCGAUAGUAUAAUAGAUGUAUCUAUAGUUCGUGUCAUUCGACCCUCCAUAGUGCAUAGAUUAUGAUGGAAUCGGGACGUACGCCUUGGAAUUUCUACAAAAUACUCCUAUGGAAUCAUGCGUAAUAUUUGUCAAGAAACCAGUGUAUCUGGGAAUUCUUGAUUUGACUCAUGACGAUCUAUCUGGUGAGGUCCAAUAUAUAUAUAAUCCGGUAGAGGAGGUAACUGCUAAUUGAGAGAUUAAGCUUAUGGUUGAGAGGAGGAUUGUACCACGUAUUUAUGCUUGUUUAUUUUGUUUAUUUACUAUGCCCCAUAUCUGUUUACUUCUUACUAUAUCUGUCUUAUUGGACCACUAGUAAGUGUCGAUGCCGCACCCCUCGUUACUACUUCUCUAGGGUUGGGCUAGAUACUUAUCGGUAACACGUUGAUAUACAUACUCAUGAUGCACUUACUGCACUUAUUGUGCAGGUAUACAUAUAUAUUUCUGGUGGUCCUCUAGGUAUAGAGGCACGGCUAUUGUGGGAACUUUACAGUGAGCUCCACUUCUUUGUUACGAUCCGCAUCAUACAGAGUCUCCAUCAGAGUUAUUUAUAUUUUCCGUCUAACUUGUAUUUGAGACGGAGGUUGUAUUAUUAUAAAUAGAUGCUCAUGCACUUCUGACACCGGGUUUUUGGGGUUCCUACUAGAUGUUUAGUAUGGUAGUUCUUGUAGUUAUUAUCAUUUCACCCUGUAAAUUCUCUUUUAUACUGUAAAUUAAUGGAAAUUAUGAUUUCAAAAGUAAUAAAAUGAGUAACUAAGUUGAUUAAAUCACUGUUGGCUUGCUUGAUGGCGGCGUUAGGUGCCAUCACGACCUAUAGUUGAUUUUUUGUCGUAACAGCUUGAUAUCAGAGCAUUAGGUUCACUUAGGUCUCACGAGUCAUGAGCAAGUCUAGUAAAGUCUUGCGGAUCGGUACAGAGACUUCUGUACCCAUCUUCGAUAGGUUACAGGGCUGUUAGGAGCACUUCCCUUCUUGAUUCCUCAUCGUGCGAUUUGAUUACUUCGAGGCUUAUGCUUUUAUUUCUUCCUACUCCAUCUUAUGCGACGUGAAGUGCUUUUUAUUAAUUGGGCAUCGAGGAUUUGUGGUGGUACUGCAGUCAUGAUGCAGGGUUUUUUCCCUACGUGUUCGGGCAGACUAUUAUCGUCGCUUUGCAAAAGGAUGUUCCCUCAUUUUAGCUCAAUAUUUGUAUUUCCUAUGGUUUUGAGGGUAUGCACAGUUUGCUAUGGUGUUUAUGCAUUGUUAUCGCAUUGUGUUGGUUGAUGGUAGGGUGCUUGUUUAUGUGUCAAAGCAUUGAAUGACCUGAAAGGAGGUACUCAGUGCAUGAUUUAGAGGUUCGACAUUUAAGGCAAUCGCACUAUGGAUGUUCAGGUUUUGGUUGAUGGAGUAGCGAGACUUGAUAUUACAAGCGCGGUAGAGUUCUUAUUUGUGAUGUGGUGUUGUCAUCCUUUUUUGAACACACUAAGGCUUGCCGGUGUUAUGGUCUUCUUUGAUUUACCUUAGGGGCAGGGUGUUGCUAAAUGGUGCCUAAGAAGCGGUUGCCAUCGAUGGCGGUGUGUAGCGAUUUCAGAAUCGAAUUGGUGUUUCUAAUGUUGAUGGCUCGAGAAAGAUGAUCUUUGAGGAGGCUUAAAGUUAGUAGCAAUUUAUUAGUUCAGGUGCUACAGAGAUGGAUUUUGAUUUUAGGCAGCAUUUGGGUAGCGAAGGAUGAUGAAGGACAUGGUGGGAGAUGUCUCGCGGUGGUUGAGUUGCUAGGAGGUCAAGUAUGAAAAGCGGAGGUCAAGAAGUUGCUUGAAGGAGAUGUUUUAACCAAAGUGGGAGCGACAGAGUAGCAUAUGGAUUUUGUGGUAGGAUAUCCACAUGCCUUAAGAAAGUUUAAGGCGAUAGAGGAAUCGUGGUGGAAAGUGACUAGGUCUACAGAUUUCAUUUGGGAUGGUGGCUACCGUACUGAGGAAGAUUGAAUAUAGCAGAGAGGAGUUUGCUUGAAAUGAAGAGGGGUGUGAAAACUUGAUUAUCAUUUCAGAUGCAACAUGACUUUGAGUUUGGAGUGUAUUGUUAGACUUUUAAUUGGUGUCAAUGGGGAAUGGACAGACUUGUACAUUCGGUGGACGAGCAUGGGCUCAGGAAGGUUUACCGAUUUUGUGGUAAGUUGUACCCAGUGCAGCGUUGUUGGGAGAUGUCAAAAUGGAAUUCCACAUAUGGGCUAUCUCCUGUGAGCAUGUUAGUUGUUACGUGAUUUUUGAUGAAGUUUCUACGAAGAGUUCUACUUGCUACCUGGUAAAAUGUCGAAUAUGUAAUUAUGGCUGAUGAUUCGGGAUGUUCAUGAAAAGUAUAAUAAUUGAUUUCGAGAAAUUUGGUAGGCUAAAGGUGCGAGAUCAUGGUAACUGAGAAGGAGGAAUCUUUGUGGGUUCUAGAUUUCUGUAAUUGUAGCUUAAAGCUAAAUGGGGGAGCCCCCCGUCUAUGACUGGGUCGCGUGGUUGUCUGCUGGUGCGAUUUCUGAUUAUCGGUGCAUUAGUGGAUCAACUAUGACUAAGAAAGGAAAACAUUAGGGAUAAUUUGAGCAAGGAACUUGGUGAAUAUGUGCUAGAUUUUGCCUUAACGAUUCAUGUGCAGGUUUUGGGAAGACUCGGAGUUUAUGCUUCUUGUGGAUUUAAUGUACAAGGAAAAUAAUUCAUUCGAUUGCUUCAUUGGAAGAGUUCAUGUGCUAAUAGAGCAUUGGAGUUUGAUUAUUAUUCGGGACCAGGUCAGAGUGGGUGACUCUUAACAACGGUUCUAGUGGGUUCAAGAAUUAAAGUGCAGUGCCUACGGAUUUCAGGUCUGUGUGUGGUUAAGGAUCGAGGUUUUAGAGUGGAUUAUGAAAAGGACUUGGAGUAUUCUAUGUUAUCAUCGAGUCUGUGGUGCAUUAUUGGAGAAAUGGGAGGAAACAAUUUCGAAUUUGUAGAGGAUCUUUUAGAAUGGGUAUACAGUUGGAAAUGUUAUUGUGCGUUUGAGAAGGUUAUGGGAUGGUUCAUGGGUAUUGAGAUGAUUUGGUCUCGUGAUUCGGAUCACUUGGGAUGAGUGUAGAUUGGAUUCGUUAUAUUUUGAGUGGAGCUAUUAUUAUUUAUAAGGCAAGUCAAGAGUAAAUUAGAAGAAGUUGGUUCGGUUAGUAAUGGUUGAAUCAGCAUGAUUGUGGCAAUAAUCAGUUCCUUCAGCGUGUGAAGUUAUACAUAUGGUUGGUGGUUAUACGUACGGGCCUGACAGCUAGCAUAACUUGAUGAAUUUGGGAGGUAUUUGAUUCAAAUGUCCUUGUUGUGUGAAUGGAUUCCGGAAGAGUUAUGGCGGUUUAGAUCACAACUUGAGGUUUGUAUUUUUUGUGGUUAUGGGAUUAUGGUUGCGUGUUGCAAUGGUUCUUCUGAACGAAUUAAGUGAAAGGAAUCUAGCCAAUGAAGUGUUUAUUCUACUAGUAGUUCAGGGGUUAUGAUGAAUUCUUGCACUCUCGUGUAGCGGCAUGAUAGGUGCAGUGAGCGGUAUGGAAAUUGAAAGUGAAGGAUUAAGGUUGUGGUUUGGUGUUGACAAGAAUAUCAUGAGCUCGGAUGAGGAGGGAAGAAUUCAGAUGUUCAGAGUAAGCUGGCAUUUUCUUUAGUGUCACCUAAGAAUGGUGUCCUGUGUAAGAGGGUUUGUUUAUUGAUUUGUGGAUUCUCGAUUUGCUAGAAUUAGUAUGUUGGUGGUAUGGAGGUGCAAACCUUGCUACUUGUUACUGAAGGUCAUGGGAGCGUAUUCCCCGGAGAAAUUUGUAUAAGUGGGACAUGUUAGUCACUUGACUGUUAAGGAUUGAAACCAAGCAUGGAGAUUAUGGUACUAUCGUUAAUGUGAGAUUUUAUGCCUGGAAAGAGCUCUAUUUCUUUGGUUGUGAACUGUGGGAGUUUGUUCCAGAUUGGAUGGUUGAUCGUGUAUGUCAUGAAUAGGGCCAUUGUGGAUCCUUGAAAGGCUAUUGGCCCAGUAUGGAAUGAUCGGAAUCGGCUUGGUUCCGUUGAUGGAUCAAAUGUGAAUGUGCUCUACAUCAGGUCGGAUGUGUUCAUUUAGCAUAGCGUUGCUUAUGGAGGAGUCUUUGAGUGUUGGAUGUUAUUCCCGUUGUCAUCUAUUCCAUGUGAUACUCUACUGUGCCAUAUAGGUUGUGAGAUGGCUUGAUUACUCGCACGUGUGUUGUGACCUCAUGUAGCUUGUGGUGUUAUGUAAGCAAGAUGUCUCUCUAGAUGAAGAUUAUUUAUUGCACCUUAGUUGUGCUUGGGUUUUGUAGCGUAUGGCUCUAUCCGUCUCCCCAAGGUUGUAUUUUCGCACUUGGCAUGCUUGUGGCCGAUAUUCAGUAUUUCAUAGGUAUAAGCAUUAUGGCUUGAUAGAUACUUUCUUAUUUAUUGCUAUAUGUGGAUCGGGUGGCAUGCCGCCACGGUUAUGGUGUUUGGAUUGGGUUGCAUGCAGCAACGGUAUCAUGUUUUGAUCGGGUUGCACGCCGCAACACUGAGAUGUUAAGUACGGUUCUCUAUAUCUAUUCUUGUGUAUUUUAUUUCUUGUCUCUGAUAAAGCUUCAUAGCAUUUGAUUAUCGUUUUAUUCGUUACGCGGUCCAGAUAGUUAUUUUUUCAGAGUUAGUUCUCCCUAUCUGUCAUAAUCAAGUUGUAUCUUGUUGGCGCAUUGAUGGCAUCAUAUGAGAUUUUGGUCAGUGUUUGAGGUGGCUUAUUUCCAAGCAGCUUGUACUGGGUGAGAUGAGGUUAUUGGACCUGAAAUCAGUACGAUCGGAUUUAUGUGGGGUAUAUUAAAGAUAAAAUAUCGUUAUUUAGUUCAAAAAUAUAAUGAGGUAAUGGUUCUUGUCAAGUGGGGAGACUGUAUGAUUUAUUGAUUCGGUAGGUGAUUAUGAGUUUCUACACAUCUCCUCCAUCAUGGCAGUGUCCUAAGGUAUACUGCAGGCAUCAGAUUCGUGGGAUUUCAGGUAUUGUGGUCAAAGGAUGUUAUUAAAGACAAACAACUUGAGUGGCGUGCUGUGUGAUCCCGGUAUGGGUGCAUGAUCAUGUUUUGGUAUUGUGUAUAGUAGUUGAUGCGGUGUUCGUAUGUUAGAAUCAGGUCUUGUAGAGAAAUUCUGGAUGUUGUAAUUUGGUUCCAAAGCAGGUUAACUAAGGUUGUAGGAAGGAUAUUCAGUCUGGCUCGAAAUAAUGUGCUCAACUGGGUUGUGGCACGGAUAGGUGCACGAGAGGUUAAACAGUGAUUUUGGACAACUCCGGAGCAGUCCUUAGCACGUUCGAGGGCGAACAUAUAUUUAAGUGGGGGAGAAUGUAACGACCUGCCCAGUCCUUUUGAGCUCCAGCACGUCGUUUGAUGGUAUGAGGCCCUGAGUAGCUUCACUUCAUGUUUUACGACAUAUAAGUGUGGUCGGAAUUGAAUUUCGGGAAGUUCAGAGUCGAUUCGGAUGGAAAAUUCUAAUUUUGGAAGCUUUAAGUUAGAAGAGUUUAUCUUCCAACUAAGGUUUGACUUUUGAUUAAACGACCUCGGAAUCGGGAUUUAAAGGUUUCGAUAGGUUUGUAUGCUGAUUUCAAACUUGGGCGUAUGUUCGGAUUGAGUAUCGGGUCGCCUGGGAGCAUUUCACUGCUUAUUAUGGAAAGUUGGCUUUUUGGAUGAAUUUCAUAAGUUUGGGUUGAAGCGGAUUUUGAUUAUAUCGAUGUCCGUUUGGGGUUUUGAGCCUUGGAAUAGCUUUGUUAUGUCAUUUAUGACUCGUGUGCGAAAUUUAAAGUCAUUCCGGAUUGAUUUUGAUAUGUUUUGGCACAAGAUAUUGAAAUUGGAAAUUUAUAAUUUUGAUUCGAGGCGUGAUUCAUAAUUUUGACAUUGUUUGGCAUGAUUUGAUGCCUCGACUAAGUUCGUUGUGUUUUGGGACGUGUUGGUAUAUUUGGUUAAGGUCCCGAGGGGCUUGGUUGGAUUUCGGGUGAUCAACGGAUCGGAUUUUUGACUUAAGGAAAAGCUGGAAAUUCUGAAUGCUGGUGUUUUCGCGCCUGCACUUGAAGGACCGCAGAAAGAGAGGCAGUGGCUCGCAGAAGCAACCUGGGCAGGGCUGGACUGAGGUUGCAGGUGUGAAGAUGUUUUCCGCACCUGCAUGAUCGUGGAAGCGAAAAUGAAGACACAGAAGCGGAAGAUGGCAGCUGGGGCAUUUCUGUAGAAGCGGAAGGACGGGCACAGGUGCGAAUUCUUGCCCUCAUGUGCGAAUUCUUGCCCGCAGAUACUGAUAGGGAGGCCAUAGGGGAAACCGCAGAAGCGGAAUUUGGCCGCACCUUUGAAACCGCAGAAGCGGCCAAAUGACCGCAGGGGCAAUGAUCCCUGGACAGAACGCUUGUUUAAGUACCUGGGUUUGGCUCAUUUUCAUUUCAUUUCUUCCAUGGGAGCCGGCCUUGGAGCGAUUUUGGAGCGCCAUUCUCAUCGUCAAAUCAUGAGGUAAAUAAUUUCUACAAGUUGUGAGUUAAAUAUACGAAUUCGGGCUUGUGAAUACAUGAAAAAUAUGGAAAUUGUGGGAUUUCAAGAGAAAACCUAGAGAUUGGUAAUUUUGGACUUUGACCACAAUUUUGGAAAUAGAAUUAGGAAUAAAUUACAUAUUUGAGUUUGUGAUGUUAUAGGUAAAGUUUAUCUUGGAAAUUUUUUGGAAUCCGGACUUUAUAGACUUUUCGAGUGGAGUUGUGAAUUGUUAUAAAUUGUUACAUUUUAAGCAUUGGAGUUUAUUUUGAUUGAUUUGCAUGUUGUUUGAUUAGUUUCGGAACGUUUGGCUUGGAGUUGAGGAGUUAAAGAGGCGUUGGAGUCGGUUAUGGAACUUCGGAUCAAGGUAAGUCUCUUGUCUAACCCUGUGAGGGGGAACUACCCCUAGGUGAUGUGUUUGAUAUGUGCUAUGUGUUGUGGGGUCUAUGUACGCACGAAGUGACGAGAGUCCAUACUUAGCUAUAUUCAUGAUAUGUCCGGGUAGACUUAGGUUUACGCAAUGCUAUAACUGUACUAUUUGAGUUGUUCCUUGCCUAUUAAAUUCCUUUAUUUUACGUUACGACUUGAGACUAGAAUUCCGUGGAGUGAUAGACUUGCUAUUGUAGAGAUUUGACGAGCUUCAUGAUUUGUCACGGAAUAAUUGUGCUCCUCUUACGAAUUACUCCCGCUUUGUGCAUUUUCAUCGAAAAGCUUCCUUAAAGUUCAUAACACACACGUUUAUUCAUGAGUGGGGUCAAGGACCCGUUAAAGCUUAUUAUUCUAAUGGGAACGGGCCGCUUGCCUUGGCAGUAUAAUGGAUGCAUCUAUGGUUCAUGUCGUUCGACCUUCGGCAGUUCGCACAUUAUGAUGGGAUCGGGCCGUUCGCCUUGACAGGAUUGUGUACCACACUCUCAUAGAAGAGAACCGUUCACCUCAACAGUAUAAUAGAUGUAUAUAUGAUUCGUGUCGUUCGACCCUCGACAGUGCACAAAUAAUGAUGUGAUCGGGUCGUACGCCUCGUCAUUUCUAUAAAAUACUCCUAUGGAGUCGUGCGUAAUAUUUAUAAGAAAGCCAGUGUAUCUGGGAAUUUUCCUGAUUUGAAUCAAGACGAUCUAUCUAGUGAGAUCCAAUAUAUAUAUAUAUACACACACACAUAUACACAUACGCUGGUUGAAGAGGUAACAACUAAUCGAGAGUUUGAGUUUAUGGUUGAAAGGAGGAUUGUACCAUGUAUUUAUACUUGUUUAUUUCGUUUAUUUACUCUACCCUAUAUCUGUUUACUUCUUGUUGUAUCUGUCUUAAUUGACCACUAGUAAGUGUCGAUGUCGACCCCUCGUCACUACUUCUCUGGGGUUAGGCUAGAUACUUACUGGGUACACAUUGAUUUACAUACUCAUGCUGCACUUAUUGCACUUAUUGUGUAGGUAUACAUAUAUGUUUCUGGGGGACUUUACGGUGAGCUACACUUCCUUGUUGCGAUCUGCAACAUAUAGAGUCUCUAUCAGAGUUAUUUAUAUUCUUCGUCUAACUUGUAUUUUAGACGGAGGUUGUAUUAUUAUUGUACUCCUUAAUAGAUGCUCAUACACUUAUGACAUCGGGUUUUGAAGGUUCCUACUGGAUGUUUAGUAUGGUAAUUCUCGUAGUUAUUAUCAUUUCACCCAGUAAAUUCUAUUCAUACUGUUAAAUUAAUGAAAAUUAUGAUUUCAAAAGUAAUAAAAUGAGUAACUAAGCUGAUUAAAUAAUCGUUUACUUGCCUGAUGGCGGUGUUAGGCGCCAUCACGACCUAUAGUGAAUUUUGGGUCGUGACAUUUUCGAUCAACUCUGACAGCUGAGCUCUUAGCCAAGUUCAAAGACAAACAUGGCAUCUCUAAUCAAUUAGAGCUCGUACCUGUGGGCGAGGAUGCAGUGGAUACCCAUCGCCUAGGAUAUUGCGCUCUUUACGCCAAUCAUUUCUCUGUUGGUUAUUCUCUUCCUUUCCCACCUCUUGUGGAGAAGUUUUGUCGUCACUAUCGGGUCUGCCCGGACCACCUCCCCCCUAUGUAUAUAAGAUGACCAAAAUGUUGUCGAAGAUUGCCGAGUUGGAUGGCGUCCAGGUCUCAGUGUGACAUCUAAUUCAUCUGUUCGCACCCCAUUUUUACCGUGGCAUGAUGAUGAAUCUACGGCACCAUGGGGGAAAGUGUUUGGUGGUAAAAAUGGACGAUAAAAGUAGUCGACAAUUUUGGCUCGACUUUUCUUUGCCAAGAUCGGGGCCAUUGUGGCCAAUGUCGCAAGUUCCCCCGAGGCGGAAUCACAACGGUAACUAUUCAUAUUUGUCACUUUUAGUUGUUGUCCAUUUCGAGUUUCCAUAAAAACCUUCUCCAUUUUUAGCUACUAAUCGACCUCUUAAGCUGGUGGCGAACCUUGUUGACUAGGUCAGGCAAGUCGUAUCUUGUACUAUAGGGAUACGAGACUGACCAAGUUUUUGGAAAAAAUUCAAACCGGCCAUUCUCUAAAUAGAUAUUUGCAUUCUUUUGGUCGGCAUCGUACUCGUAUUGGUUUACGUCAUCGUGCUUCUUCUAGGUUCCAUUAUGGGGCUUCAAGAAAGAACAGGGCGCAUAUGCCCACGUUCAAGAGGAGAAGGGUUGCUACGCCUUCCGCCUCUACCCUCGUCUUAACUUUUGCACCCGCUCCUCCAUGAGGUCCCUUAGUUAGAAGAGACCAAUACGGACGUGCUUUCGCGUCCCGAGGAGAAGAAGGUUGCGGAGGGGACAUUUGGUGAUAGCUAUGUGCCUUGUGAGGAGGCCUCUUCCUCUAGGCCGACUAGGGAUGUUGUUCCUACUGAGUGGGCUAAAGGCAAGGGUUCCAUCGAAGAGGAUGAUGAAUCAAGUUCUAACAUGGACCACAAUGAUCUUAAGAUGAUCGAUAAAGGGACUACUCAUAUUGAGGUAAAGAUGGAGGGGGGUUCGAGAACUAUUACGAUUCCAAAGGAUUGUGAUCUGCUGAAAAACACCGAGGAUGUGGUCAACGCUCUCGGUCCUCUCUACUUCGAAGCUGAGUGUGUGACGCUCAAAGACCUGAUAGAUGGAACCAUGCCGAAGAGCACUGUCGGCCUCACCCUUAAGGUAAGUAUAGUUUUUCCUCGUUCUUUUUUCUUUGAUUUGACUUAUUUCAAGGCUCUAACUUUUGUUUUUCCUUAAUUUAUAGACUAUUAUUAUGGACAUUGAAAGUGCUUUGAGGGAGAAAAAAUGGAAAGAGAUUUACCAAUGACUGAAGGGCAAGUACUAGGAGUUCUGUGGAAAGUACCGGGAUGCCCAGAGUUGGCUUCGCGAGGAAGGAGAUGUGUCGACCAUGAGGUAGGAGUUGAAGAAGAAAGAUGAGGCACUGAUGGUUGCCGUAGAGAGGUUCAGCAUUCUCGAGGGAGCGUUGAAGAGAAAAUAAGAGGAGCUCGAGUUGAGAAAGGGCAUAGAGGCCCAAUGCAGCGACCUCUAGUGUCAGGUGGUUCAACUUAUAAGUCAGUUGGACGGGUUCCAAUUUCAAAUGGAAUCUCUUGAGAUGGGGGGGAGGUCGCUGGGAAGCAGCAGAAGUUUGAGUAGGCGGAGUCCUUCCUACUGGAUGCUCGAAGGAAGGUUGACAUUCUCGAGUUGGCAAACAAGACUCUCCAUUCUGAACGAAAUAACAUUCAAUCAGCAGUGGAAGCUAAGGAGGCCAUUCUCGAGGAGAGGAUUGGGGAGUUAGGUAAGGAGAACUUCGAGCUGCUCGAGGAAGAUGAUGAAGAAGUUGUAGAUCAUCUUGCGGAUACUGCUUGGUAUGACUCCGCUUAUGGUCGAGGCGAGGAUGGAGAAGGUGUCAGAGACUAGGGUGGCGAUGGCAACUAGAUAUUCUUCCUUUUUUUGUUUAACUUCUUGUACUUUUUGUUGAUGUCUUCAAGUGCCCUUGUAAACACUUUUUAUCUAAAUAUCAAAGUUGGUUUUUGUUUUAUAUGCACCUUUUAUCUUUGUGUGUUUUGCUUUUGUACUUCCUUUCUUCAUUUUUAUCCUCUAGAUUGCGAUAGCCGUGGGCUCGAGUAGUCGUGGGCCGUAUUGGCCUUUGUUCGAAUUGAUUGAAUGUGCCUCUUAGUUGAGAUGCGGCCAAGGGUCGAUAGGUGUUUUUUUUAUCCGAUCGAACAUACCUUUAAGUUAAGUCAUGGACGAGGGAUGAUAGGUGUUGUUUGAGUUAGUCGAAUGUACCUUUAAGUUAGGUCAAGGCCAGGGGAUGAUAGGUGUUGUUCAAGCUGGUCGAACGUACCUUUGGUUAAGUCGUGGCCGAGGGCCAAUAGGUGUUGUUCAAACUGGUCAAAUGUACCUUUGGUUAAGUCAUGACCAAGGGCCGAUGGUGUUGUUUGAGUUGGUCAAACGUACCUUUGAUUAAGUUGUGGCUGAGGGCUGAUAGGUGUUGUUUGAGCUGGUCAAACAUACCUUUGAUUUAGUCGUGGCUGAGGGCCGAUAGGUGUUGUUCAAGCUGGUCAAACGUACCUUUGAUUUUGUCCUGGUCGAGGGCUGAUAGGUGUUGUUCAAUCUGGUCGAACGUACCUUUGAUUUAAGUCAAGGUCGAGGGUCAAUAGGUAAUGUUCGAACUUGUCGAAUGUACCUUUGAUUUAAGUCGAGGCCGAGGGCCGAUAGGUAAUGUUCAAAUUGGUCAAAGAUAUAUUUUGGAGAGCAAUUUUGAAUAGACGUGCAUAUUACUUAUUUUAACAUCGUUGUUUUGAUUACAUCAUUUCGCCCUUAGGCAACUUUUGGAGAAAAUUACAAGUUUCGGGUAUCGGCUGGUGUUCCAGUCCCGGUAUAUCUAAUCUCUUCAUUGUUCGACUUAGAGAUUCUUGAGGAUCAAACAAUGAAAAACAUGUCUGCUCUCAUGUACUCCAGCUUAAAGUGUCCCACUCGUCGCCUCGUUAAAAACCUCCUUGAGAAAACCCUAUUGGGACAAAACUCAAGUGAGGGGGAAAAAAGCACGACUUACGGGGCAUUUCCUAUUUUUCAGAAGUUAAAGUACUUGAGAUGGCUGAUAUCCAAUUGUUUUGUAGGAGCUUCCUUUCCAUAGUUUCCAAUUAGAACGAACCCUUGUAUUCUUUGCCUAUAAUUUUAUAUAGUCUGUCCCAGUUGGUUCUCAACUUGCCUUCUCGUGGGUACCUAUUUUCUAGGGUUUUGACUUUGAGCACGUAGUCCCCGAUCUUAAGUAGUCAAACCUUUGCCUUUUUGUUGUAGUAGCAUUUUGCUUGUUGUUUCUGUGCGACCAUCCUUAUGUAUACCAUUGUCUCGCCGCUCUUUGACCUCAUCGAGUCUUGUCUCCUAUUUUCAUCAUUGUCGGUACUACUUUUAUGGGAGUCUCAUGUUGGGUUCUCUAACUUCUACUGAUAUAACCGCUUCUGUUCUAAAGACUAGAGAAUAAGGCGUUUCUCCUGUACUCACCUUCGGGGUUGUUCUGUGUGCCCACAAUACUUAUGGGAGUACUUCUAGCCAUAGUCCAUUAGCCUUCUCGAGCUUUUUCUUCAUGGUGUAUAAGAUAGAGUUGUUGGAGGCUUCUGCCUAUUCAGAACCAGUCGGGUGGUAAGGAGUUGAAAGUAUCCUUUUAAUAUUCCAUAUCUCGAAGAACUCAGUGGUUUUCCUCCUCGUGAACUGGGGCCAUUGUCACAACUCAUCUCUUUAGGCAAGCCGAAUCGGCAAAUGAAAUUUUUCCAUAUGAAGAUGAUUACCUCUUGCUCACAAACUUGGGAGAAUGCCCCUGCUUCUACCCACUUACAAAAAUAGUCAGUUAAAACUAAAAGGGAUUUUAUGUUACCUCAUCCUAGCGGAAGAGGUCCUACGAUAUUCAUUCCCUACUUAAUAAAUGUCCAUGGAGAGGUAACAGAGUGGAGGUGUUCGCCUGCUUGGUGGACUAUUGGGGCGUAUCUUUGACGUUGCUCCCAUUCUUCAUAAUAUUUGAGGCGUCUUUCUUCAUGGUGAGCCAAUAAUACCCAGCCCAUAUGAGGCACCUGACGAGUGCUCGGUCACUGGAAUGAGCUACGUAAUGACCUUCGUGGACUUCCUCGAGAAAGCAUUGGGUUUGGUUUGGGCCUAAGAAUUUUUCCAAGGGGCCGUCGUACGUUCUUUUAUACAAGUCAUUGUGAAGGAGGAUAUAUCUAGCAGCUUGAAUUAUUAGCUUUUUAGAUUCCUUUUUAUCGCUUGGGAGGGCGCCGUCCUGCAAAUAAUUAAUAAUAUAAUUGCGCGAGUCCUAAAUUAAGUUUACAGAUCUUACCUCGAUGUGGUCUAAUGCCGAGCUGAGAAGAUGAACUACACUCUUGUCCCCGUCGUUAUGCUUUUGGUGGCAUCAACCAAUUUGGCGAGACCCUUUGAUUUGAUGUUCUGAGUUCGUGGGAUUUGGCGAGUUGUCAUACGUCGAAAUUGGGAAGUAACCUGUAGAUCUCAAUCUGAUACUUCUCCAACCUCGGCUCUUUGAUUUGGAAAUGUCCUAGUAACUUGGUUGACUACAAGCUAAGAAUCACAAUGGAGCUUCAAUCGCUUCGCCCUAUACUUGAGCACUAGUCUCAAUCAUGCAAUUACGACCUCAUACUUGGCCUCGUUGUUAGUCAUAUCUGGGAACCUUAUGGAUUGAAGAAUUAUUUUUCCGGUGGGAACCUCGAGCAUGAGUCCCAGUUUGGACCCGCACGCAUUGGAUGCGCCAACGAUGUAUAGGACCCAAAGGUCAUGUGUUUGUAGAAAGCUUUAGUGGCUUCUUUUUUAGCCUCAGGCAUUACAUUUGCACUAAAGUCUGCAGCAAAGUCGGCGAGCGCUUGCGACUUUAUUGUUGUGCCAGGAUGAUUAGUGAUGUCGACUCUCUUAAUUCAAUGGCCCACUUGGCCAACCACCCUGAUAGCUCGGGUUUGUGUUAUAUGCUUUUUCAAGGGGAAGUGGUGACGAUCGAGAUCGGGUGGCACUGAAAAUAGGGUCUAAGCUUUCGUGAAGCUAUGACCAAUUUCUUCGGUGUAUACAAGUGUUUUACUGAUAUAAUAAAUUGGAGAUUGCGUACCUUUGUCUUCUCGAACCAAGUCCACAUUUACCACUACUUUCAAGACAACAAGGUACACGUGGAGGCGCUCCCUAGGCUUGGGCUUUGAGAGAGGAAGGGUAGUGAUGACAGGUACUCCUUCAUUUCUUGCAAUGCUUGUACACACUCGGCGUUUAUUUGAGGUCGUUAUCCUUUUUAGCACACUAAAAAACCUAUGACACCUAUCAGACGACCGCGAGAUAAAUCUAGACAUAGCGGCAGUUCGACCGAUCAAUCUUUGGACUUGCUUCUUAGUGGUCAAUUGUUCUGGUAUCCCGUCGAUAGACCUCAUUUGAUCUGGGCUAACCUCAAUCCCUUGCUGUGAUACCAAGAAGCCCAAACAUUUCCCCGAGGCUAUGCCAAACGUGCAUUUUUCAUAUAGAGAAUUAUUUGCAAAUGAAGAGAUGUCAAAGGGGCUUCUUACUUCCCAAAAACUCGGGGUUUAAUUUCAUUUCGUACUUUCUUUGUCUGUCGAAGGCUUCUUUCAGGUGGUCGAUGUGAUCUUCCGCCCUUACGGACUUGACCAAUAUGUCAUCAAUAUAUACCUCCAUGGUUUUGCCGAGUUGAUCUUUGAACAUUUUCUGACCAACCUUUGAUAGGUAGCCCCUGCAUUCAUCAACCAGAAAGACAUAACCCUAUAGCAAUACGUUCCCUGUGGGUGAUGAACGUAGUCUUCUCCUGGUCUUCUUCCUCCAUGAGUAUUUGGUUGUAACUUGAGUAGGCAUCCAGAAAACUUAACAGCUCGUGUCCUACUAUUGCAUCGAUGAGUUAGUCGAUGUGUGGCAACGGAAAUGAAUCCUUCGGGCAUGCUUUGGUCAGGUUUCUGAAGUCCACACACAUCCUCAAUUUCCCAUUUUUCUCAUCACCACAUUAGCAAUCUAUUUGGGGUACUUCGACUCCCUGAUAGAGCCGUUGGCCAAUAACUUUUCUACUUCUUCAUGGACAGAAUCAUUGAUUGUGGGGUUGAACUUUAGUCGGACAUAUCUUACUGGGGGUAAAAGGGGUUGACGUUCAUCAUGUGUAUUGAAAUUUCAUAGGGAUGCCUGGCAUAUCUGCAUGGAUAAAGGCAAAUAAAUCUGUGUCAGCUAUUAAUAAUUGAUUAAAUGUACCUGGGCCUUAGAGUUUGCAGCUGAUAUAAGCCUUUUGUUGAGGUUACUAUGAUCUAGCUGGACGGGUUUGAUAUCUUCUAUGGUUGAUCCUGCGGCUUCGACCAUCUUUGGAUCCAUAAUGACUUCUUUGGCUUCGAACUAUGACGACCUCGACCAUGCUGAUUACUAUGCUUCUUUUUCCUUAUCUUUCUUUUGUUGAGUUGUCGUGUCGUCCAUGGCGAUUCGGUAGCAUUAAUGGGACGUACAUUGUUCCCCUCAUAUUCUAAAUAUUCCCUAAGGUGUCGGGAACUUGAUCACUUGGUAUAAGUUGGAGGGGGUGGCUCUCAUAGGGUGCACCCAUGAUCAUCCCAUGAUGGCAUUGUAUGCAGUUUCCUGGUCCAUGAUAUGGAACGUUGUCUCUAGAGUCACCCUACCGAUGAGAACUAGGAGUGUAAUCUCUCCCUAAGUCCGCUCAACUGCAUUAUUAAAAUCAGUUAGUGUAAUGCAGCGCAACACUAUCUUAACCUCAAGUCUCAUCUAUGCGAGGGCUCGGGGGUGGAUGAUGCACGCCUUACUUCUAUCAUCUACCAUAAUUCUCUUAACAUCAAUAUCUAAAAUUCAUAAAGUAAUGAAAACUGCAUCAUUGUGGGGGAAAGUCAAACUGUCGGCAUCUAACUCAUCGAAGAUGAUACUUUCUUCGAGUCUGUCAUACCAAUUGUGGGUGAUCAAUCUUUUGAGCUUGUGGGUGGUAGUGAAUUUGAUGUUGUUCAAUUGAAGUGUCGUCACUGCUACUAAUAAUCAUAUUGAUGGUGUGAGAUGGUGAAUGCUGUUUUGGUGUGCUUGAACGUUCUCGACCCAUCACCAAAGUGUUCAGCCUUUGUCACUGAGUAGUUCCUUGAAAUGCCCUUGCUACAUCAAAUUUGCUACCUCUAGUCUUAGAGCGAUGCAAUCUUCUGUUUUGUGUCUACGUUCUUAGUGGAACUCGCAGAGGGCGUCAGAUUUUCUAGUGCUUGGGUCGGACCUCAUCUUUGGUGGCCAUUUUACCUUUGUUCUGAGCUUCUCAAGAGAGUAAACCACCUCCGUAGGUGACACACAAAAGUUGUGAGCAGAUAGUAAGGGGGCAUACCUCUCCCAUUCUUGUGAGUGCCUUAUCUUGGCCUAGAUGGGUUGUCUUCGUAAUGGAAGGAGGGGACAGGCGUUCUAACAUAGGUUGGUGUAAUUCCAUGCCUGGCCACAAUAAUGGAUGGUCUCUCCUUAGAUUACCCCUGAAUUCUUUCCUGGGCUCGAAUUGUACCGAGGUGAGUUGUCGAGUUGGUCCAUUAAGGUCGUCGUCAUCUUCUUGGACCUCGACACAGUAGGCAUUAUGAAUUUCGUCCCAAGUGGCCGUUGGGUAUUUCAUUAACCGACUCAGUAAUUUUCUAGUCACCCUCGAACCCUCUCUGCUCCAUUCAAAAAAGCUGCCACAUCCAUCCCUUUAUAGACAUUUGGCAAGGUCAUCAUUACCUUGUUGAAUCUGGUAGGAAGCCUCUCAAUCCCUCUCUUGGGAUUGUUUGAUGGCGAAGAUAUCGUUCACCCUUGUUUCAUCUUUAUUGUCCCCGGCAUGCAUCGUUAUGAACUUAUCGUCCAUCUCUUCAAAUGUUUCUAUGGAAUAAGCUGGCAGUUGUGAGUACCACGUCAAAGCCCCUCUAGUGAGAGUUUCACCAAACCUUUUCAGCAAGAUGAAGGAUACCUGCUCUUUGGUAAGGUUGUUGCCUUUCACGGCGGUGACAUAGUGGGUUAUAUGAUCUUCAAGAUCAGUCAUCCCAUCGUAAAUUUUGAGAUAUGGGGGCAUCUUAAAGGUCUUUGGUAUGGUGUGUGGAGCCGCUUCUUCCCCAUACUGUUGUUCCACAAAUAUGUCGGUGUCUCAUUUUGGUAACAAUUUGGGAGCACCUGGUAUUUUGUCUACCCAUUCCUGGUGCUCGUUCAUUUGGCCCCUAAGCACCCUAUCUCGUUUAUUAUUUCUUCCACUCUUUUCAGUACGAUGGCGAGGACAUGCCUCCUGCACUAUCAAUAAUAGUGUGAGUUUUACCUGAAGUCGGAGGGUUUGGUUAGUCGUCUUGUUCGUUCCUCUAUUGUGCUGCAUGAACUCUUGUAGUUCCUGUGGUCGUGCAUGGGGCUUGCUUACUAUUGGGUAGCCAUGCUUCAAGAAGCUUUUUCAUAGAGGGUGGCGCCCACUCUCCUGUGAAUGUGGAGGCCCUUUCCCGUUUGAUUUUAUUGUAUUGUAGAAAGGUGCAUGCAACCUCUCUCGUCUGGGAGAGGCCGUGGGUGUUACCUCCUCAUCAUUGGUGCCAUAGCCUUCGUUGAUGGCACUCAUGAGGUUGAGGGGAAUAUUGUUUUCUGCCUUCGUGUUGCUUCCUUGGUUACCUGCCAUGGAUAUUUUUGUUCGCGCAGAGAAAAAUGAUAAGCUUUGUGGUUCGUUAAAUUAACAAGUCACGCAAGUUAUGGAUCUAAUGGAAACUAAAAAGUUGGCUGAGAAUAUCCCCACAUACGGCACCAAACUGUAUGAUCCAAAAUUUAGACCUAGGCUUAUACAAUCGAAUUUUAUAAUAAAAUUGGGUUAAUCUUAGCCAAUAUUAAUAUCCAAAAGAUAGACCAAAUAUUUUUGUAGUAAGAUCUCACGUGUGCUUUUGAGCAACAACAUAUAACGACAAUCAUGGUGUAAUCAAUGAUCCAAGAAUAUGGAAGAAAGAAAGAAAUAGUAAUAAAUAAUAAUAAAUGACAUGUAAGUAAAUAAAUAGAUGUAGGUCACCCGAAAAGGGUAAGAUUCCCUAAUAUUUCUUCUGACAAGGAUUGAUAAUGAUAACUCUUUGAAUAUUUGGGUCCUCCUUGGAUCAUGUGAGAAAGGAUAGAUAAAAAUAUAGGGAAAAGUUGGACUUUAUAUGUGUAUGAUAAAGUAAUAAUCUUCAGAGAAUGUCAAUGUAUUGUAUUUUACAAUGAAUAUCUAAUCCCCUCUAUAACUAUAUAUCUUUCUAUUUAUAAAGGUAUAUGAGCCACAAAACCCUAAAUAGUACAAGUGGGAGGAAUAUUCACUGCAGUAUUCUCUAAGGGGCCAUAUUCCUAAAACUAGUUGUUACUGUUUUAAUAAAAUGAGUACUCGUUCUCAUCUCCGUCCUCAGUUGAGCCACCUCGACCUCGUCGACGACAUGUUCUUUUCUCAUAAUAUCGACCUUUUGAAAUUAAAUUAUUACAUCUUGUUAACGACACGUGGUAGCCUUCGAAGGCUUUCUUAAUAUUGACUAGGUCCACAUAUAAUUAUGGUAAUUUUAGCCCAUACACAUGUAUUGUCAUGGGUUUUAAUAUAUUUAUUUAUUUAAGGUGUAAAUUGUGAGAAUAAAAUGAUAAAAAAAUUACUAUCGGGUAGCCAUGCUUUAAGAAGCUUUUUCAUAGCGGGUGGCGCCCACUCUCCUGUGGACGUGGAGGCCCCUUUCCCAUUUGGUUUUAUUGUGCUGCAGAAAGGUGCAAGCGACCUCUCUCGUCUGGGAGAGGUCAUGGGUGUUACCUCCUCAUCAUGGGUGUCAUAGCCUUCGUUGAUGGCACUCAUGAGGUUGAGGGAAAUAUUGUUUUUUGCCUUCGCGUUGUUUCCUUGGUUACCUGCCAUGGAUAUUUUUGUUUCACAGAGAAAAAAGAUAAGUUUUGUGGUUCGUUAGAUUAACAAGGAUCGAUUUCCCUCACCAGUGGCAUCCUCAGUUAGAGCUCAUAGCGCUGGACUUGCCUAGUGCGAUUUACAGCUCAUGUGUGAUUUGCAAGCUAUUGCACAGUGAGUAGGAUACUCAGGGCGCACCCGAGAGAUAGCGGAUGUGGAUUUUCCUGAAAAUUUUUCAAAAUAAAAUAAAAUUAAUAAAGAUAGAAAUUUCAAGAGUAGCAAUACUUAGGACCCGUUUAGCCAUAGAUUUUGCCAAAAUAAACUUGGAUUUUAUUUGGCAAACACAUGUUUGGCCAUAGAUUUUACCUAUAUUUUGGCAAAAUCCCAAAUCUCAAAUUCCAAAACCAGCUCAUUAGUUGGUUUUGGGCCAAAAUCUUUACAAACACUAAUAAUAUACAUGUUUUUCCAAAAUAAAUUUGAAAAAUACAUUUUGAAAACGUAUGUCCAAACACAUUUUUCAUUUUCAAACCAAACUUCAUUCAAAUCAGAUUUUUCAAAAUAAAUUUGAGAAUCUAUAACCAAACGCUAGCUUAUUUUUAUUCGGUAAUAAUUAAACAUGGUUUAUCUAUGAACUAAAAAUUUGAAAAUUGAGCCGAAUUAAAUGAAUUGAACUCAAUUCACUAGCGGUAAAUUUACACUAAAAGUAGUGGCACCUAUAAUUUUCAAAUCCCGGUUCUAAGAGUCCCGGAGAUAAUUAAUGGUUAAUGACCGAAUUUGAACUUUUAACCACUAGAUUCACUAAACACCUACUUUCUUACACCUAUUUUCUUACAAUGUAGGGUGGCGAUUAUGCAUUAAAAAAAGGAGGAUAGGUUGGCUAGAAAAUUUUUAUUUCGUAUCUAUAAUUGAUAUUAGUUGUAUGAGGCAAUUUUUUUGUCUCAUAAUUUUAUGGGUCCAGAUUUUUGUGGACCCAGAAGUGUAAGAUUGGGUUCCACAAAUUUGUAAGACAAAAGACACAAAAUAAAAUUUCUCCGUUGGCUACGAUGAUAUGAAAUAUGAAGGAGAGGGGCGGCUGGUUUAUUAUUGUUUCUGAUUUUGCAGGAAGGAGAAGUGAUAGGUGAGCUGCAGUUGAAGAUUUUGUUUCACUUAAGAGUGAUGUAAUAUUUGUGUCCGUUGAUCUUGGCUUGAUGGACGGUGGAAAUUUAGUCAAAAGGUUCAUGUGAAAUAAAAUAACUCCUUGAUGUAUUUGUUGACAGCUUAGGAUAUUUGAAUAUUGCUUAGGAUAAUUUCUUAAAAAAUAAAAAAUUCAUAAUUAUAAUUAACCAAAUUAAAAAUACAAAAGGGAAAAUAUAUCUGUGAAUAUUUUUAAGAAAAUUAGCCAAAAUAUGGAAAUGAAUUAGCUUAACUUUUCGUUAGGGCUUGUUUGGAAAGCCAUCUUGUAAUUUCAUUUGAGUGUAAUUGGGUAUAAUUGUAUAAUUUAGCAUGCUUGUUUGGAAGAUGUGGAGGUCGAGUAUUAGGGUUGUAGGUUAGGAGGUAGUCGAGUCUUGCCCUUACUUCGUACCUUUGUGAGACUAGUCUGAUAGGGUUUUUGUCUAAGAUAGAUAGUGGCAAUGUUGUGUCUUACUAUUUCAGUUUUCAGUGCAGGACCUAUUUUACUAGCUAUCGCUUUUGCUUUGCAUCUUUCUUCUGGAUUUCAUGUUCCUAUUUUUCCUAAGAUUUCCGUGGUGAUACUGAUAUUGUCUCCUUUUGUCUUUUUGUUUCCUUGAGCCAAGGGUCUUUCGGAAACAGCCUCUCUACUCCUUUGGGGUAGGGGUGAGGUCUGCGUAUACACUACUCUCCCCAGACCCCACUAGUGGAAUUUUACUGGGUUGUUAUUGUUGUUGUUGUUGCUUGUUUGGCAAAGUAAUUACUUAAUCGGUAUGAAAUUAGAUGUAAUUAUGGGGGAAUAUUCAAUUCUCGAAAUUCAUACUUGCACUAAUGCACUAGAUCUUAUCAAAACUCCAAAGCAAAGUAUGAUUUAGUUAGAGUGGUACUGGGAUAAGUGAUCCUCUGAAAAGUCCUCGUGUUGUAUCCCAUAUUUUAUGGAAACUCUUUUUAUUUUUGUUUAUUUGAAUUUCAUAUUUAUUGAUUAAUGGUAAAUUAUUUUGUUUUAAUCGUUUGAUUCGUAGUUCUCCCGAAAAGAGAUAAGCGUAUAAUCUACAGUGGUAGGAAUGACGGAUACGGUCAUACCAGAGAGCUAACACACCGAAUCCAUCAGAACGUCAAAGUCAACCAUGCUUGAGCAAGAAUAGUACUUGGAAGGGUGACCUUUUGGGAGUCUUCGUGUUGCAUCCUCCAUUUACCGAAAUUCUAUUUGUUUUUUUAAUUUAAAUUUCUUAUUUAUUUACUAAUGGUAGAAUAUAUUAUUUUGAUAGUUUUCGAAGUUAUACUAAAAAAAGAUAAGUUAAUAGAAUUUUAAUUUUAAGAAUGACGGAUGCGAUCAUACCAGCAUUAAUGCAUCGGAUCCCGUCAGAACUCCAAAGUAAAGUGUGCUUUGAUUAGAACGGUACUAGGAUGGGUGACCCCCUCCCUCCCCCACCCCCCACCCCCUCGAAAAGUACUCAUGUUAUAUCCCUCAUUUUGCUGACUCUUCUUAUUUUUGUUUAUUAAGUUUCAUAUUUAUUUAUUAACAGUAAAUUAUUUUAUUUUGGUCGUUUUGAUUUGUGGUUAUACUGAAAAGAGAUAAGUAUUAGAACACUAGGAUGAUUAAUGUGAUCAUAUGAGCACUAAUACACCGGAUCUUGUCAGAAAUCCAAAGUAAAGCGUGCUUUGACUAGAGUCGUACUAGGAUGCUUUACUCUCAAGAAAGUCCUCGUGUUGUAUUCCUCCUUUUACCGUAACUCUUUUUAUUUUUAUUUAUUUAAAUUUUUUAUUUAUUUAUUAACAGUAGAUUAUUUUGUUUUGAUUAUUCAAAUUUAUAGUUCUGCCAAAAAGAGAUAAAUUUAAAGAAUUUAGAACGCUAGAAAUCACUGAUGCAAUCAUACCAGCACUAACGCACUAGAUCGCGUCAGAAUUCCAAAGUAAAGCGUGUUUCAGUUAGAGUGGUACUAGGAUCAAGGAUGGAUGACCCCCUGAAAAGUCCUCGUGUAACAUCUCUUUUUGCCAAAACUUUGUUUGCUUUUGUUAUUUGAAUUUCUUAAUUUUUUUUAUUAACAGUAGCUUAUUUUCUUUUGAUUGUUUCGAUUCGUAGUUUUGCCGCAAAGAGAUAAGCUUAAAGAAAUUAGAAUGCUAGGAAUCACGAGUUUGACCAUACUAGUACUAACACACUAGAUAAAUCAAAACUCCAUAGUAAAACGUGCUUCGGUUAGUGUGGUACUAGGAUGGGUUAUCCCUGGUAAGUCCUGGUGUUGCAUCGUUCCUUUUGCCGAAACUAUUGUUGUUUUUAUUUAUUUAAAUUUUAUAUUUAUUUAUUAACGAUAAAUUAAUUUUGUUUUGAUUGUUGUGAUUCGUAUUUCUGCCAAAAAGAGACAAAGUUUAAAGACUUUAGAAUGCAACGAAUGAUGAUGCCACCGUACCAGCACUAACACAAUAGAUCCUGUCAGAACUCAAAAGUAAAGCGUGCUUCGGUUAUUGUGGUACUAGGAAAACUUCUCAUGUUGCAUCUCAACUUUUGUUGAAACUCUCUUUUGUUGUUUACUGAAAUUUCUUAUUUAUUUAUAAUGGUAGAUUAUUUAUUUUGAUCGUUUUGAUUCGUAGUUCUACCGAAAAAGAGAUAAGUUAACAGAAUUUCGAAUUCUAGACGGCGGUGACACCGGCAGAGGUGGCUGAGCAGCUGAUGAAGGAAGAAUGGAAGAUGAAGUUGAUGUUUCACUUAAUGGCUUGAUUGAAUUUCUUAAC
RNAcentral lists this long non-coding RNA (24684 nucleotides) under Nicotiana tabacum (common tobacco). Lineage: Eukaryota; Viridiplantae; Streptophyta; Magnoliopsida; Solanales; Solanaceae. The record is from RNAcentral.